CAUAUGCUUGUCUCAAAGAUUAAGCCAUGCAUGUCUAAGUAUAAACAACUUUAUACUGUAAAACUGCGAACGGCUCAUUAUAUCAGCAAUAAUUUAUUUGAUGGUUUCUUACUACAUGGAUAACUGUAGUAAUUCUAGAGCUAAUACAUGCAUAAAGUCUCGACCUCACGGAAGGGAUGUAUUUAUUAGAUAAAAAGCCAAUGCGGCCCUAAAAGGUCGGUUUGUUGGUGGAAUCAUAGUAACUAAUCGAAUCGCAUAGCUUCACGCUGGCGAUAGUUCAUUCAAAUUUCUGCCCUAUCAGCUUUCGACGGUAGUGUAGUGGACUACCGUGGCUUUAACGGGUAACGGGGAAUUAGGGUUCGAUUCCGGAGAGGGAGCCUGAGAAACGGCUACCACAUCCAAGGAAGGCAGCAGGCGCGCCAAAUUACCCAAUCCUGACACAGGGAGGUAGUGACAAAAAAUAACAAUACUUGGCCUUUUCAGGUCGAGUAAUUGGAAUGAGUACAAUUUAAAUCCCUUAGCAAGGAUCAAUUGGAGGGCAAGUCUGGUGCCAGCAGCCGCGGUAAUUCCAGCUCCAAGAGCGUAUAUUAAAGUUGUUGCAGUUAAAAAGCUCGUAGUUGGAUUUCUGGUUUAGUGCGCCUGGCCCGUCGUCGUAAGACGUAUGAGUGCUGGUGUGCGCUUUCCAUCUUUCUAGAAAGCAUUUCUACCCUUUACUGGGCUGGAUAUGUAAUCUAGAUCGUUUACUUUGAAAAAAUUAGAGUGUCUAAAGCAAGCAAACUGUUUGAAUACAUUAGCAUGGAAUAAUAAUCUAGGACUUCGGUUCUAUUUUGUUGGUUUCUAAACUGGAGUAAUGAUUGAUAGGGACAGUUGGGGGUGCUAGUAUUGGCCGGCCAGAGGUGAAAUUCUUGGAUUCGGUCAAGACUAACUUAUGCGAAAGCAUUCACCAAGGAUGUCUUCUUUAAUCAAGAACGAAAGUUGGGGGAUCGAAGACGAUCAGAUACCGUCGUAGUCUCAACCAUAAACUAUGCCAACCAGAGAUGGGUGAACGUUGCAUUUUCGACUUUAUCCGCAUCUUAUGAGAAAUCAAAGUCUUUGGGUUCCGGGGGGAGUAUGGUCGCAAGGCUGAAACUUAAAGGAAUUGACGGAAGGGUACCACCAGGAGUGGAGCCUGCGGCUUAAUUUGACUCAGCACGGGAAAACUUACCAGGUCCAGACAUAGUGAGGAUUGACAGAGUGAAGAUCUUUCUUGAUUCUAUGGGUGGUGGUGC
RNAcentral lists this ribosomal RNA (1268 nucleotides) under uncultured Cercozoa. Its description in RNAcentral is "SSU rRNA". It matches the Rfam family "Eukaryotic small subunit ribosomal RNA", at positions 25 to 1283 of the family's 1831-position model. Lineage: Eukaryota; Cercozoa. The record is from RNAcentral.